UAGCUGAGCACAUCUCCAUUUCAGAAGGACUGGAAGAUGAAACAAUCCCUGGUUUCCUUUCCUUUUCAGUGCUCUUUAAAGAGCUUGGGAGACUGUGAUUUCCUGAACUUUUAAAUUUGCGACAAAGAAAUCUUGUCUACAGCGUGUUUAAAGGACAGGCUAAUGAAAACUGGUUUUCUGACAACGCUGAGUUACGAGAUGGCAGCACCUGUUGGACUUCAGUGAAAAUAUUCUUGUGGGCUCUGGUUUGCACUUUUUCAAGCCAUGGCUGAGGGAGUGCUGAAGUGUGCAGGGAGCAGAAGGUCCAGCCCAGUGUGGAAGGGUUGGCUGGAGCCUGGUUUGGAUGUCAGUGCAAACAGUGCCACCCUGAUGGAGGCUAAACAGGGAUCCCAGAGUCACAGAGCUGCUAAGGCUGGAAAAGACCUCGGAGGUAAUCGAGUCCAAGCAUUAACCCAGCACCACUGUGCUCACCACUAAACCAUAUCCCCAGGUGCCACAUCCAUAUGCUUUUAGAACACUUCCAGGAAUAAUGAUUCCACCACUUCCCUGCUGCACCCUGAGUAGGUUUAGCUUUCUUAGUUAGCUUUUUUUUCCCUUGACUUGUUGUUUCCCUGUUUGUUUCCCUGAAAAUGGAAAAUAUCUUCAUUUUCUAAUUUUGAUAAUUCUAGAUGAAAUUGUGCAAAUGGCUCCUCAGACUUGACAAAAGACCUGUGGGGUAAUGCAGUGAAGCUUACUCUUUAACAAAAUUACCACAAAUUGUGCUAAGAGCAUCAUAGCUUCAACUAAUGUAAAAUAAGCGAAGGUUUUCUGAAAAGUAGUGCAUCCAUUUAAUGCUUAUCUGGAAAACUAAGCAUACUUAAAUGUAUAAUAAAUAAAAACAAAGAACUUUUGGCAUUGUCUCACCUUUUUCCCUUGACAUGACUUUAUUAUCUAUUAUAACCAGGAAAAAUCUUUGUAUUCCAAAGAGAAGGUGUUUUUUAAAAAUACACGUGAAUAACAUAAAUAUUACUAUGGUGCAAAUACUCAUUCAAUUAUCUUUUUAUCUUAUUUUUUAUGGUUUUGGUAUAAGUUUCUGUUUAAUAGAACUCUGAAGCUCAGGUUGCAAUUUCAUGUCAGGUUCAGUGUUAGCCCCUUUACUGGUAAAAAGAGAAAAUCAAUCUGCUUUUGCAAUGUAAAUGUAGAGACAUAGAAUUGAAUUAGUUGAUAUUUCUCAACAUCUGAGAUAACAUAAAUAGGACCAUAAUUUUCCUUGUCACUUUCAUGUAUAAGUGCAGGAGAGGUCCAGGCAGGAAUUCUUACUUAUGUAUCCCUUACAUCUUCAAAGUGCAUGAUUUGUGUGCAGUCAUAAAGAGUGGACAGCUCAUAAUUUAAUUAUUUAAUCCAUAAAAUCCAUUUAAAAAAAGAAGGAAGAAUAAAGUUAAUGCCUUGUUUACAAUGACUUUAUGAUAACUCUCAUGUACUCAUGCAUUCAUUAACAGAAAACAGGUUUCUAUAAGGGCCCAAUUGUGUUUUGUUUCAAUCAACUCUGAAAGGAUAAUAAAAAAAUAGGAAAAACAAAGAUAAACCAAAUAAUAAAAAUUAAGUAAAAAGGGUUCUGAAGCCACAUUCUUGGGCUUAAAGAAGCAUAUUCUUACUUUUUAUUGUUCCUGAGUUAAAAAUUUACUAAUGCUCUUUAAAUUUAAGAACUGUUCAGUUGAUUACACACGACUUGACUGUGUAAACUUUUGAGUUAGAAAAGGUACUUAAAGCAUAAUAAGAACUCAUUAGUAGCAUUAAAGGAAAAUAGAAAAAAGUUUGUAUUUAGUAGUCAUGACUCUAAGAAAAGAAUUGUUCCACAAACCAUCCUGGCAGAAAAAGGAGCCAGGAAAGCACAGGCCUGAAGUCAGUUGAAAUUCAGCGUCUCUGUUCCACCAGCAGGGAACCUCUGCCUCCCAGAGGGAACUUUCAUGCAGGAGGGUAAAGCUGAAUUCUCCCAGAGUAAAGGAGGAUGUGCCCCCAUCCAGUGAGGUUCAUGCUGGGCAUGAAGUGCAGGUAAAAUCAGUCUUUUUAUUGGCCUGGGCUGUCUGCUGGGCACACACAGGAAUGCAGAAUGCCAAAAGAGAAGAAAAAAAAAAUCAGCAUCUGUUUUGCCUGGUGAUAACACUCUUAUUUUAUAUCAUGCAAUAUAUAAUGUAUAUAUUUACAUUUUUCAUUAGCAAUUCAAGUGAGAAUUGGUUGUUAAAUUAGUUGCAAGUGCUGACAUAUAAGGGCAGAUGAUUUGUAUUUUCUUAGAGAUGUGUAUGUAGCAUUUUCUGAAGGAGGUGGCUUUGGUACUGUUAUGCAUGUGAACAGCCUGGAAAUUCCAAGCUUUUAUCUUUUAGAGAAAUGUAUUACUGUUAUGGGCAAAAUGGAUCUAAAUAUCACAAACUUUUAUGUAUCUGUCUGAAUCCCAGCUGAGAGGCUAGCUGUGGGGUAUCUCUAAAAUAAAAAUGUUUAAUAUUCACUUUUUGUCAUCAAACAUUUACUUUAGUGCUAUUAAGUUUUGUCUUUUUAAACCAUGAUGCACCCUUCAGUAGGAGGAUGAGGCCCUACUCUCUUAUUGUCAGCUGUGAAUGCAACUCAUUGUUAAAGUCUGUGUGAUAAAUUUAUUUCAACUUUGUCUCCUAAAGGGGUGUCAUUUUGCAUCUUUUCUGCACUGAACAUUUUCACUGAGGACCAUGUCACAAGGGAGGUAUAAAACACAAGUAUAAAAUCAGGUAUUUGGAUUACAAGGUAAAUAUUUUUGGCUGGUAUUUAUUAUUACUACUUAGCUGUAGUGAUGAAGCAAAGAGACACUGAUAAUUGCAAAUUUGAAGAGUCUCUGUUUUGAAAAGGCAUUUCUAUCAGAUAGACUGGUAGAAAAAUAUUCAUCAAUCAUUUAGGUCUGUCUCAGGAAUUUAUUAACUUUUCCAUAAGCUGUAUAUUUCUGCCUAAUUAUAUCAUGAAUAAACAGCUGCAAUAAACAGUGAGAUUCAAUCUUCUGAAUAAGCACAUAACUACAUUCUUCACUAUUUUCUGGUUUUUGACAGCUUAGCAGUUAAACUGGAUGAACAUGGAAUAUAGUACAUGAAAAUGGAUGAGAAAGAAAGUGAUAAUGUAGCAUAUUUUCUCCACUUCCUUCUGAAACAGUGUAAAGCAAUCAGUUCUAAAAACCUCUGUCCAUGUAUUAGUUAAUCAAUACAAAUGUUCAGCCUGCUCCAAGAUAUUUUAACACCUGUCAGAGCUAGCUCAGCAGUCAUUGUUCAAAGCUUACAUGGAAGCAAAAACCACAACAGAAAACCUUUCCCAUCUCCAGGGGAUUAUCUCUAGGGAGGAAAAAAGAGAGAGUGAUUCUGGUUACUAGAAACGAGGGGGGGAACAGAGCUCCAAUUCUCAGAUGAUCCAAUUAUGAUUAGAAAAACUGUGUAAAAAAAAAAAAAAGUAGAGCUUGGAGAGUGAGGAAUUUAAUCAUGAUUAUCUGCCUCUUGUGAGGCAGUGUGAAAAUCUGCCAAACCCACCUUUGCUUAGUUACCCUGAAGUGUGGGAGGGAAGGGGAAGCAAAUGCAAAAUGAUGCACCGGGGAGGCGCCGUGAUAGAGAACAACAAGGGAAAUAAUUUCCUCUCAUACUGGGAAAAAGAUUCCUUUUCAAGACCUGUGAUAUUAUUAAUGAGGUAUGAAACUCUAGCAAAGAGCUUUGGCUCUUGUGUUGCUACCACUGCUCCUUGGAGCAGUAGAAUACAGUUACAUUUGCCAUGGGGUUAACAACAGAUCCCUGACUCGUAUACACCAUUCCCCUUCCUCUUAUACACAUGUUUUAUGUCACAUAUAAAUACUUGUAUUUCAUAUUUACUGUCUAUUACAAUAAAUAUAUUAGUUGUCAGGCUUAUUUUCUCCUCUCAUUCAAAUCACAUUGGGCUCAAGCAUGACAAACAAGUGUGAUGCAUAUUUUCUGGAGGUUUAAAAACAUAUCUGAAAUCUGUCCAGCUCUGUUGUUAAAAGUGUAAGUUAAAUGUACCAAGUGAUAUUUGGCCUUCAGAAAUGGAAGUGGGGAGGGUUGCCUUGACACGGUGGACCUGAAUUAACAUACUAUACUGUUUUAUACAUGAAUGAAUAAAUAGUAUAUUAACAAACUGCUUUGUACAUAUGUAUUUCUGCCUUUAUUCAUUACUUCUAAGGAACCUGGGGAUUGUGGUCUGACUGCACACAAGGUAGGUGCAGGUACAGGUAGGUACAAGCACCACAGGCACCACCCAGGACCCUUCCCUGGGCUCUCAGGGAUGCAGGUUUCCCUCAUCCUUGU
This 4298-nucleotide long non-coding RNA is filed under the name Taeniopygia guttata (zebra finch). Its description in RNAcentral is "lncRNA (ENSTGUG00000021679.1)". Lineage: Eukaryota; Metazoa; Chordata; Aves; Passeriformes; Estrildidae. The record is from RNAcentral.